Salmo salar (Atlantic salmon) is the source of this 964-nucleotide non-coding RNA. The record is from RefSeq and is a predicted model, not a curated record. NCBI's taxonomy places the organism in Eukaryota, Metazoa, Chordata, Actinopteri, Salmoniformes, Salmonidae.
CUUUCUCCUCAGAUCUCCAGGCUCAAAGCGUCAGUCCACCAGCUGAACUCUCAGUCAGACUGGUGGAUGGGACCACUUCCUGUUCUGGGACAGUGGAAGUCUUCCACGAAGGAGAGUGGUUGGGUCUAUGUUCUGUGUUGUGGAGCAUGAGAGAUGUUAUGGUUGUGUGUAGAGCGCUGGACUGUGGGAAUCCGUGGAGCUGAAUCUAGAGGACCUCUGAUUGAAGAUGGAAGAAGAAGAGUCUAUCUAUAUAGUAGUUGCUAUGGAAAUGAGUCUUCUAUUAGACAGUGUGACAUCAUAGGAGAACCUGGUGACUGUAUUGGUAGAUAUUAUCAUCAUGUGACCUGUUCAGAGUCUGUGCGGCUUGUGGAUGGAGCUGGUCUCUGCUCUGGGAGAGUGGAGGUGAAGUCCAAUCAGUCCUGGGCCUCAGUGUGUGAAGCUGACUUUGACCGGCAGGAUGCAGAGGUAGUCUGUGGGGAGCUUGGCUGUGGGGCUCCUGCAGCUCUACAGGGGGGCUCUAUGGAGAAGGUGGGGGUCAGACCUGGGAUAAAGAGUUCCAGUGUAAAGGCAAAGAGUCCCUUCUCCUGGACUGUGACACCUCAGACAGAGAAAACAACACCUGUCUACCUGGUAAUGCUGUUGGACUCACCUGCUCAGAGCCUGAUGAUGUGAGGCUGGUGGGAGGAGGCAGUCGCUGUGCUGGUGGAGUGGAGCGGUACGACCAGGGAGAGUGGAGGACUGUGGGAGCUAGAGACUGGGAGGAUGUAGCUGCAGUAGUGUGUAGACAGCUGGGUUGUGGCUCCACUGUUUCAGUUCUACCUGGAAACACCACUGGAUGGUUUGGAGUUUACUGUUCUGGCUCUGAGUCUGUACUGAGGGAGUGUUCCAGAAUUUAUAAUCUCUAUUCUGGAUUCACAGUGAUCUGCUCAGAUCUCCUGGUCCAGCCUGAUAUCUCCCUGACUGA